GACGAACGCUGGCGGCGUGCUUAACACAUGCAAGUCGAACGAAGAGCGACGGAAGCUUGCUUCUAUCAAUAUUAGUGGAGAAAGGGUGAGUAACGCGUAAUCAAACUGACAUUCAGAGGGGGACAAUAGUUGGAAACGACUGCUAAUACCGCAUACGAUCUAAUCUCGGCAUCGAGGAUGGAUGAAAGGUGGCCUCUACAUGUAAGCUAUCACUGAAGGAGGGGAUUGCGUCUGAUUAGCUAGUUGGAGGGGUAACGGCCCACCAAGGCGAUGAUCAGUAGCCGGUCUGAGAGGAUGAACGGCCACAUUGGGACUGAGACACGGCCCAGACUCCUACGGGAGGCAGCAGUGGGGAAUCUUCCGCAAUGGACGAAAGUCUGACGGAGCAACGCCGCGUGAGUGAUGACGGCCUUCGGGUUGUAAAGCUCUGUUAAUCGGGACUAAAGGCCUUCUUGCGAAUAGUGAGAAGGAUUGACGGUACCGGAAUAGAAAGCCACGGCUAACUACGUG
This 510-nucleotide ribosomal RNA is filed under the name uncultured bacterium. Its description in RNAcentral is "partial 16S ribosomal RNA". It matches the Rfam family "Bacterial small subunit ribosomal RNA", at positions 28 to 507 of the family's 1533-position model. The record is from RNAcentral.